This 468-nucleotide ribosomal RNA is filed under the name uncultured bacterium. RNAcentral's name for it is "partial 16S ribosomal RNA". It matches the Rfam family "Bacterial small subunit ribosomal RNA", at positions 29 to 507 of the family's 1533-position model. The record is from RNAcentral.
ACGAACGCUGGCGGCGUGCUUAACACCUGCCAGUCGAACGGAAAGGCCCUGCUUGCAGGGUGCUCGAGUGGCGAACGGGUGAGUAACACGUGGGUGAUCUGCCCCUUACUUUGGGAUAAGCCUGGGAAACUGGGUCUAAUACUGGAUAGGACCAUGCUGUAGGUGGUGUGGUGGAAAGAUUAGUUUCGGUAAGGGAUGAGCUCGCGGCCUAUCAGCUUGUUGGUGGGGUAAUGGCCUACCAAGGCGUCGACGGGUAGCCGGCCUGAGAGGGUGGACGGCCACAUUGGGACUGAGAUACGGCCCAGACUCCUACGGGAGGCAGCAGUGGGGAAUAUUGCACAAUGGGCGCAAGCCUGAUGCAGCGACGCCGCGUGGGGGAUGACGGCCUUCGGGUUGUAAACUCCUUUCAGCCAUGACGAAGCCCUUGUGGUGACGGUAGUGGUAGAAGAAGCACCGGCUAACUACGUG